Molecule: long non-coding RNA, 515 nt
Filed under: Gallus gallus (chicken)
Lineage: Eukaryota; Metazoa; Chordata; Aves; Galliformes; Phasianidae
Description: long non-coding RNA NONGGAT008932
Source: RNAcentral
CCGCUCCCGCUCGGGGGCGGUGGGGUGAGGGGAGCGGGGCCGGGGCGUGCGGGGGCCGUGUGAGGGGACGGUGCCGGGAGCGGAACCCUGCGUCUGUGUGCGGCGUGCGGGCGUGGAACCGCAGCUGCGAGCUUCGCCUUCUCCUUCGGCUGCGUUCCGCUUGCUGCUGCUCGGGGUGAUCGCUGUGCGCUCUGUGAGAGAGAUCUGUUGUGCUCUGUGUGAGAGAGAUCUGCUGUGCGCCGCUGACGCGGGCACUGCGUCCUGAUUCUGUGGGGGGAUCUCCUGGGAUUCUGGUACACGUUUCCUCAAGUAUGUGACAAGAGGAACAUGUAUGGAAGAAUAUAAACCUUCUGCCUGCUGAACGCAUUUGGAGAGGCCGCACCACUUGGUAUGGAAGCAGGAGUAGUUGGUGCUGGCUGGGUAUGGCAGAGGCAAGGCAGCUUCGUGCUGCUCGGCAAGGGAGAGGGGCAGCGGGGUGUGUUUGCCAGCGUGCAGCACCUGGAGCUGGACUUCCA